GUUGGGAUCGCGCUCAAGGGCGUCGAGGCGCUCACUGGCGUCGUCGGCACCGAGCGUGAGCGAGGCCAGGGCUUUGACGUCGUCGGCCAUCAUUUCCAUGCGCGGCAUGCGAUGACACGUGAGCAUGAGCGCCCCCAGGGCGUGAGCAAAGUCGGCGUCGGGCGCGGGCAUUAGCGGCACAGACGAGCCGCUGCCGAUGUAGACACUGGCGCCGCAAGUCACACCAGCGAGGCGAUUGUCGCUGGUAUCGAGCGACGCGCGGCAGACCGCAGCCCACACUGACUUGAGCGCGCCGCGCGACACCGUGGCCAGCGAUAUGAGGUCCCACGGCGGUAGCCGCGCGGCCACCUCGACGCACAGAUCGAUCUCGUGCUCAAACAGACCGAGCAGCGUGAGCCCGCCGUCUCUGGUGGUUGUCUCGUGGUAAUCGACGUCGUCUUCGGCGAGCGCAGCGGUGGUGGUAGUCUUGUUGUCGCGGUGGUUGCGAUCGCCGACGGUAAUAGGAACGACCGAGCCAUGGAGAGAGGCAGACGUGUGGUCAACCCCAGCCAUGGCGCUCGCGCCGUUGACGAGUGGGACCCCAUCUGCUGUCUCGGCGAGGCUCUCGUGUAGAGCCGAUGUAGGGCCGUGUUGUGUAUGGAGGCCGGCCCAGAAAGGGUUGGUGCCUGCCACGGCCAACGCAGGCGCAACGGCAGUCCACGUACGCAUUGUCCACGACCGGUGAUGCCAUCCGUCGGCAUGGUCAAUGGGCGAUGUGAUGACGAACACAUGCGCCAGGAGCGCGCCGGCCGCGCAGCCCUUGAGCGAUGAGCCGUGCACGGCAAUGUCCCGCAGUCGACGGCACAUCUCACCGAGUGCACUGCCAACCAAGGGUUGGCUGCGCAGCGCAUGACUGCGCAGGACAUUGUCCACCAGACCGUCGACGCGCACACGAUCCAAAAGACGUGCCGCUCGCGCAUCGUCGUCGCCAUCUUGGCUGUCGGCCGAUCGGGGUGGGUCGGUCGGAUGGCGCGCUUGAUCGAGACUGCACACCAGCGUCAGAAUCAGGCGGACACGCGCGAGAGACGCGCGCUUGCCGGGGUCUGUCGGCUCGGGAAUCCGUUGUCCCCGUUCGGCAAAGCGGCGGCCCGUGGCAACGUUGGUCGCAGCGAUUUGGAACGCCAGCGUCAGGAGCAGGUCCGACCCGAGCCUGCCGGCCGCCGCGGCCAGUCCCAUAGCCGAUAGCCACGUGUCGGUGGUGGCGAGGUCGGCCGCCUUGCCAUCCUCGGCGCCCAUGGCACCGGCCAGCCACGCGCUCACGCGACUCGCGCUAGCCGCGCGCUUGACAAACCCGCCCGAGCGACUAUAGGCCGUGGACGCGUCGCUCAACCGGUCGCCCAGCGUGAGGCAUACAAUGACGACCGCACCGCACCGUGUGGCCGCUGCCCAUAGGAUGGUCCGUUCCAGCGCGCCCGGCACAUAAUCUUUGAGGGUGCCCGACGCGAAUGCACUGGGGCGAGCGAGCAUCUGCUCGACCAGGCCACACUUGCUCUGCAGGCGCGGCAGCACGUCUAGCCACAGCCACGCUGCGCCUGUGCGCUUCCAGGCGGGUUCGUCCUGCGGGCAGAUGUGCAUCACGGUGGCGGCAGUUGCACGCUCGGCGGGGCAACUGGUCUCGUCGACGUGCACCAGGGCGUGACAGGGCGACGUUGGUCCGGUUGUGAGAACGUCGACCAACACAGUGCGCGUGCGCGGCGACGCGUGCCACAGGGACAAGAGGUCGUCCCGAUCAAGCCAUGCGAUGGCCGACGCAGCCAGCGCGACAUUGCAGCGCCCCAAGAGGGCGACCAUGCACCCGCGCGGCGGCCUUCUGGGACCGGACCACGGUGUCGGCCAACGCGCUGACAGGCUGUCGUCGCAUUCUCCCUUAGAGACAGACGCCGAGCGCGCGCCACUCACAAUGGGCGCGUCCUUGACGAGGGCCUCGAUGGCGUCGCGCUGGCCGGCAGCGCAAAAGGCCCCCGGCAGCGCGUCGUCGACCGCGAUGGUAUCGUUGCUGUCGGCACACGCAACAAUGUGCACAGCGGGUUGGCCCUUGUGCGUGCCACUGUCGCCCUCGUCGCUGGCGACCGUUUGUGCGGUCUCCAUCGAGACGCUUUUUGGCUCGUCAGUCCUUUUUUUCCAACUCUGUGCGGCACGCGCGACGCACAGACUCUUUUUCAGUCUUGGGGUUGCCAACAAACUCGACGAGGACAAAAUGUGCAGUGUCAAAGAAAAAAACUGUGCAGACGCCGGCCCAGCAACUUUCUGGGCACACUUGGGCGCUUGCGACUUUGUAUUUUCUGUUUCCGUGCUUUGGGGGGGGGGGCUGCGAUGCGGCGCCAUUGGCCAACCCCAACAAAAGGCCAGGCCCGGACGCCAAGACCAGACCCUCAAUGCAUCGACCAGCCACCGACGGCUGCGACCAUAGUCUGCCCAAAAACUAGAGAAAGGCGUCAAAUAUAAAAGAAACCAAUCGCG
RNAcentral lists this long non-coding RNA (2499 nucleotides) under Pandoravirus quercus. RNAcentral describes it as "hypothetical ncRNA". The record is from RNAcentral.